Molecule: ribosomal RNA, 737 nt
Filed under: uncultured marine bacterium
Lineage: Bacteria
Description: bacterial SSU rRNA
Rfam family: Bacterial small subunit ribosomal RNA
Source: RNAcentral
AUGCAUGCAGUUGAGCGAAGCUUUUCAGUAGUUUACUACAGAAAAUGACUGAGCGGCGAACGGGUGAGUAACGCGUGAGCAAUCUACCUUAGUUACUGGGAUAGCCCGAGGAAACUCGGAUUAAUACCGGAUAUUCUUAUUUUUUCACAUGAAGUUUUAAGGAAAGGUCAGCCGAACUAAGAUGAGCUCGCGUUCUAUCAGCUAGUUGGUGGGGUAAAAGCCUACCAAGGCUACGACGGAUAGCUGGUCUGAGAGGACGAUCAGCCACACUGGGACCGAGACACGGCCCAGACUCCUACGGGAGGCUGCAGCAGGGAAUAUUGCGCAAUGAGCGAAAGCUUGACGCAGCGACACCGCGUGUGGGAUGACGGUUCUAGGAUUGUAAACCACUUUCAGGAGGGAAGAAAAUGACGGUGCCUCCACAAGAAGACCCGGCCAACUACGUGCCAGCAGCCGCGGUAAUACGUAGGGGUCAAGCGUUGUCCGGAUUUAUUGGGCGUAAAGAGCUCGUAGGCGGUUCAACAAGUCGGUCGUAAAAGUUUAGGGCUCAACCCUAAAAUGUCGAUCGAUACUGUUGUGACUAGGAUACGGUAGAGGUGAAUGGAAUUCCGAGUGUAGCGGUGAAAUGCGUAGAUAUUCGGAGGAACACCAAUUGCGAAGGCAGUUCACUGGACCGUGAUCGACGCUGAGGAGCGAAAGCUAGGGGAGCAAACAGGAUUAGAUACCCUGGUAGUCCU